Molecule: ribosomal RNA, 881 nt
Filed under: uncultured bacterium
Lineage: Bacteria
Description: bacterial SSU rRNA
Rfam family: Bacterial small subunit ribosomal RNA
Source: RNAcentral
AGUGGCGCAAGGGUGCUUAACACGUGGGCAAUCUGCCGUGAAGCCUGGAAUAACUCGCUGAAAGGCGAGCUAAUGCCGGAUGUGAAAGUCGGGAGGCAUCUUUUGAUUUUCAAAGCUGGGGACCGCAAGGCCUGGCACUUCACGAUGAGCCCGCGGCCUAUCAGCUAGUUGGCGAGGUAACGGCUCACCAAGGCUAAGACGGGUAGCUGGUCUGAGAGGACGACCAGCCACACUGGAACUGAGACACGGUCCAGACACCUACGGGUGGCAGCAGUCGAGAAUUUUUCUCAAUGGGCGAAAGCCUGAAGGAGCGACGCCGCGUGGGGGAUGAAUGGCUUCGGCCCGUAAACCCCUGUCAUUUGCGAACAAAUUGGUUCAAUUAACACCUGAACCAUUGAUAGUAGCGGAAGAGGAAGGGACGGCUAACUCUGUGCCAGCAGCCGCGGUAAUACAGAGGUCCCAAGCGUUGUUCGGAUUCACUGGGCGUAAAGGGUGCGUAGGCGGUCGGGUAAGUCUGAUGUGAAGUCUCCAAGCUCAACUUGGAAACGGCAUUGGAUACUAUUCGGCUCGAGGAGUGGAGGGGAGACUGGAAUUCUCGGUGUAGCAGUGAAAUGCGUAGAUAUCGAGAGGAACACCAGUGGCGAAGGCGAGUCUCUGGACACUUCCUGACGCUGAGGCACGAAAGCCAGGGGAGCAAACGGGAUUAGAUACCCCGGUAGUCCUGGCCCUAAACGGUGCGCGUUUGCUGUGAGCGGAAUCGACCCCGUUCGUGGCGAAGCUAACGCGUUAAACGCGCCGCCUGGGAAGUACGGCCGCAAGGUUAAAACUCAAAGAAAUUGACGGGGGCCUGCACAAGCGGUGGAGUAUGUGGCUCAAUUCGA